RGRGGGUAGSUGSUACGAGGAGKUCGACUAAGCCAUGCGAGUUGAAUGUUCUUCGUGAACAUGGCGGACUGCUCAGUAACACGUGGACAACCUACCCUUGGGUCCGGCAUAAUCCUGGGAAACUGGGAAUAAUUCCGGAUAGGUCACCGAUGCUGGAAUGCGCGGUGGCCGAAAGCUCCGGCGCCCGAGGAUGGGUCUGCGGCCUAUCAGGGUUGUAGUGGGUGUAACGUACCUACUAGCCUACGACGGGUACGGGUUGUGAGAGCAAGAGCCCGGAGAUGGAUUCUGAGACACGAAUCCAGGCCCUACGGGGUGCAGCAGGCGCGAAAACUUUACAAUGCGGGAAACCGUGAUAAGGGGAUCUCGAGUGCCAGCAUAUAAUGUUGGCUGUCCAGAUGCCUAAAAAGCAUCUGUUAGCAAGGGCCGGGCAAGACCGGUGCCAGCCGCCGCGGUAACACCGGCGGCCCGAGUGGUAACCGCUAUUAUUGGGUCUAAAGGGUCUGUAGCCGGCCAGGUAAGUCCCUUGGGAAAUCUGGCAGCUCAACUGUCAGGCUGCUAGGGGAUACUGUUUGGCUUGGGACCGGGAGAGGUGAGAGGUACCUUGGGGGUAGGGGUGAAAUCUUGUGAUCCUCGAGGGACCACCAGUGGCGAAGGCGUCUCACCAGAACGGGUCCGACGGUAAGGGACGAAAGCUAGGGGCACGAACCGGAUUAGAUACCCGGGUAGUCCUAGCCGUAAACGAUGCUCGCUAGGUGUCAGUCACGGUGCGACCGUGAUUGGUGCCGUAGGGAAGCCGUGAAGCGAGCCACCUGGGAAGUAUGGCCGCAAGGCUGAAACUUAAAGGAAUUGGCGGGGGAGCACUACAWCGGGUGGAGCCUGCGGUUUAAUUG
RNAcentral lists this ribosomal RNA (890 nucleotides) under uncultured Methanosaeta sp. RNAcentral describes it as "bacterial SSU rRNA". It matches the Rfam family "Archaeal small subunit ribosomal RNA", at positions 18 to 908 of the family's 1478-position model. Lineage: Archaea; Methanobacteriati; Methanobacteriota; Methanomicrobia; Methanotrichales; Methanotrichaceae. The record is from RNAcentral.